UCUCAUUUUUCUACUGCUCGUGAUGUUCAGCCCACAAGAGCUUACUGGUGAAGGAAUGGGACAAGACCCAUCUUUAUGCAAAGCCAGCGUUACAGUAAUGUUCCAGCAUCUCAUAAUCUAUCCUGGGGAAUUCAGCUGCCUCCCAGGGUGAAUACAGGUAUUCCUGAUGACAGUCUGCCUCUAUCUUACAGAGCAGCUUGUUGCUAUAUACCAUUGAAAAGCCUUCAGAGCUGAGAGGUACUACUAACCAAUAACCUGCUUGGCUCAAAGGGCCAGCACCUUCUCUCUAAAGCCCAAGAGGAGUUUGAGGAAAACUAGGUGUCUGUGUUCACUCCAGGCUGAAGUUACAGGUCUGAGCAAAUAAGGUGUAUAAAAAAUGGAAUCUGUCUUGGAGGACAUCAGAAGGUGAAUUUUCCAAGUUCUUGGACAACCUAGCUGUUGAAAAGCUUUCUGGGUUUGGGGGGUAUUUCAGAUGUACCUUAAAGUGUUAGCAGACACAGAUUAAGACACUGGGAGCCAAUGAAACAGCAGUUGAGGGUUUGCUGUGUAUCACAUUUCUGUAUUUUAUCACCCCCUUCCUGCAACAUUAUUUAUCUGGAAUCUACCUGCCCUUUUGUUUUUUAGAUACAAGGGCUUGGUUUUGUUACCCAGGCUGGUUUCAAGGCCAUAGCUUUAAGAGAUCCUCUCACCACAGAUUUCCAAAGUGCUGGGAUUGCAGGUGUGAUUCAUGGCACCCAGACUUUGCUGCCUUUCUUACAUGAUCCAGGCCCAGAACCCAAACUCAGGCACUGUAUAGAUGACCACUUUCGUAAACUACUGACCUAGCUUGUUGCCAAUUGUUGAUUGAACUUCCCAUAACUCCACUUCGUGUCUGUUCCUCUGUAUACAGCCACCUUCUGUUCCCGUCAUGAGCCUUUAGGUCUCCAUUUGCAUAUUGCAAAUACUAUGUUCCAUGUAGGUAGCUCAUUCAGGGCCUUGCUCUUCACUUCAAAAAAGGUUCCCUUGAGGACUGGCUGUCAAUUUGUGUUGCUGUGUUGGUUGUUGAUGAAAAUAAUAAAAUGAUUGAUUACAUA
This 1073-nucleotide long non-coding RNA is filed under the name Homo sapiens (human). RNAcentral describes it as "small nucleolar RNA host gene 1". The record is from RNAcentral. Lineage: Eukaryota; Metazoa; Chordata; Mammalia; Primates; Hominidae.